RNAcentral lists this long non-coding RNA (1346 nucleotides) under Ananas comosus (pineapple). Its description in RNAcentral is "long non-coding RNA (ACOM_LNC031771)". Lineage: Eukaryota; Viridiplantae; Streptophyta; Magnoliopsida; Poales; Bromeliaceae. The record is from RNAcentral.
CUCCAUUACGUGUCUUAUCCUCCCUCUCUCUUUUUAUACAGAUCGCUACAAAUAUAAUAAAUAUAUUUUUAAAAUUCAAAUUACAUAUAUUAUGUCUAUAAAAUUUUUAUAAUUUUUAGAUAUAUUCCUCUUGUCUGUUAUCGUUAAAAAUAAGUGAAAUGACUGUUUUACCAUCACAAAUACGUUACUCCAAAAAUCCCAUCUGUUAGCCAUCACAAGCCAUCAUAAAUACGUUACUAUAAAAAUCCCAACAGUUAACUGAAGUGGGAUAGAAGGGUUAAUUCAAGUCAUUAACUAAGUAGGAUUACCUAUUUUCUCUAUGAUUUACUAAUUUUUUCUAACGGAUAGUAACGGUUAGGAUAUAUUUAAAAAUAUUAGGAUUUUUACAGCAACAACAUAUAAUAGUUGAACUCUGUAGAGAUAUAUUUGCAAUUCACUAUUUUUACAGAAACCUAUAUGAAAUUAAUCCUUUUUUUUAUUUUUUUUUUCUUUAUCUAGGUUUUGAAAAUUUUCCUAGGACACACAACACACCACAAAAAAAAAAAAAAUAAAAUAAAAUAAAAUCCAACCUGAUAUGUGACCUGAUGACUAGAAUCAAUUUAGAUCAGCUUAAUUCAGCUCAAUUUACGACUGCAGUAAUCAGGAUCCUAAAUUAGACCCAAAGACUCAAAGUUGAUUUUUUGUGAAAAAAAAAGCUAAAUUACAGAAAAUUUCCUUAUCAAAAUUCGAUUUUUUAUUUUUCCUUCCUGUAAUUUAAAAACCUACACUUUGCCCUCCUAAAAAAUAAAAAAUGUUCUUAACGGGUACGAUGUUAAUAGUAUUGAUAAAAUGAUCAAAAUACCUUCUUCUUCUUCCUUUCCUACUCCAACCCUGCUUUAUCUGUAGAAGAAUAUUUUCGGUAUAAAAAAAUAUAUAAUAAUGGGAUAUAGACGGAAUCCUAACGGAACACUGCCGGUACGAUCCAAGGUUAAUAUUUUUUAUUGUUUAGGGGGACAAAAUAUAGAUUUUUACAUGAUAGAGAGAAAAAAUGAAAAAUCGGAUUUUAAUAAGAGGAUUUUCUGUAAUUUAGCCAAAAAAAAAUACCAAGCUAUCUAUUUUGUUUAUUUUUUAAAAAAACAUAAACUUAGCUUGAAGUAUAAAGUAAUUAAACAUCCAACUUUGAACUUCAUAUGUAAAUCGUCAAGUUCUUAAUUAGCUGCGCUAGAUAUACUCGGUGCAAACACUCAAAAUUGAUGACCAAUUUAUUGCACAGCUUGUAAUUUAUAUAUGAAAACUAUUGUAGAUUUUUUUGGUUUAAAAAUGGUGAUAUUGUUGUUGUCAAAUGUAAAGUUGAAAAAAAAAAAAAA